UGCGUUCCUGUCUCAGACUAAGCCAUGCACGUCUAAGUACAAACUAAAUGAUGGUGAAACUGCAAAUGGCUCAUUACAACGGUUAUGAUGUACCCGGGAGUUCCGAUGGAUAUUUCCAGUAACACUAGAACUAAUACAUGUCCCUGCGUUUAUUAGUUUCGCACAGUCCGUCGCUGAGUCAUGGUAAACAGUUGAUCGACUCGACGUCCCGGAACAGUUUCCGCCCCAUCAGCUUCGAUGGUUGGGUAUUGGCCUACCAUUGCAACAACGGGUAACGAGGAAUUAGGGUUUGAUUUCGGAGAGGGAGCCUGAGAAACGGCUACCACAUCUACGGAUGGCAGCAGGCGCGCAAAUUACCCAAUGCAGACACUGUGAGGUAGUGACGAGAAAUAAUAAAGCGGGACUUCUGUUUCGCUAUUAUAAUGAGGAAUAACCAAAGGUCAUUCCGAUUAGCAACUGAUGGGAAAGUCUGGUGCCAGCAGCCGCGGUAAUACCAGCGU
RNAcentral lists this ribosomal RNA (500 nucleotides) under uncultured Myrionecta. Its description in RNAcentral is "SSU rRNA". It matches the Rfam family "Eukaryotic small subunit ribosomal RNA", at positions 27 to 591 of the family's 1831-position model. Lineage: Eukaryota; Ciliophora; Litostomatea; Cyclotrichida; Mesodiniidae. The record is from RNAcentral.